This 253-nucleotide ribosomal RNA is filed under the name uncultured bacterium. RNAcentral's name for it is "partial 16S ribosomal RNA". It matches the Rfam family "Bacterial small subunit ribosomal RNA", at positions 524 to 776 of the family's 1533-position model. The record is from RNAcentral.
UACGAAGGGGGCUAGCGUUGCUCGGAAUUACUGGGCGUAAAGCGCACGUAGGCGGCUUUCUAAGUCGGAGGUGAAAUCCUGGAGCUCAACUCCAGAACUGCCUUCGAUACUGGAGAGCUUGAGUCCGGGAGAGGUGAGUGGAACUGCGAGUGUAGAGGUGAAAUGCGCAGAUAUCAGGAAGAACACCCGUGGCUAAGGCGGCUCUCUAGUACGGUACUGACGCUGAGACGCGAAAGCGUGGGGAGCGAACAGG